This 275-nucleotide long non-coding RNA is filed under the name Mytilus galloprovincialis (Mediterranean mussel). The record is from RNAcentral. Lineage: Eukaryota; Metazoa; Mollusca; Bivalvia; Mytilida; Mytilidae.
GUUGAGUUAUAUUUACGAAUGAUGUACCGAUAAAAAGAUUUAGUAAAUGCUUUGACUAGUUUGUGAUAUCGAAAAUCCUGGUGUAAUUAUUUUUCAGUAGUUCAUAAUUUUUUCUCGUUAAAAUCUAAAACGUUGUUAAAUACACGAGCGCAUCGUACAAGUUGGGAUAUAUAAACACCGUAACGUGAUAACAAGGUAACGUCACCAUUCCAAAAUAGAUAAUUAACGAUAGGAAAUGAAAAAUCAUCUCUUUUAUCAUAAAUUUUAGUAUUAAG